Hydra vulgaris (swiftwater hydra) is the source of this 2930-nucleotide long non-coding RNA. RefSeq lists it as uncharacterized. The record is from RefSeq and is a predicted model, not a curated record. NCBI's taxonomy places the organism in Eukaryota, Metazoa, Cnidaria, Hydrozoa, Anthoathecata, Hydridae.
UUUUUAACAGUAAGUGUUGCUUUUCUAAAUAAAUAUUUUACAGCAGUGUUUACGUACAGUUCUUUUCAGAUUAACCAUAAAUACUAAUCUCGAGACCAUUUAAAUGUGUUUAAGUUUUAAUUUUUUGAAUUUUGAUAACACAAAUAUGAUAAUUAAUACUAAGAUAAUUACACAGAAAAUUAUUUUCAUAUUGUUAUCAGUGGUGGAGUGAAACAUAUGUAUUUGGGUAAUUAUUAUUAUAAUUUUUCUUCUUUUAAUCUCAUUUUAGGCUUGUGGGUUGUGCAGGGUUGUGCAACUAUUUUAUAUUGCUUUAACAGAACCAAAAUUUAUAGCUAAGUUUAGAUUUUUUAUUAUUAAUAAGAAUUAAUAUGUCGAAUAUUUUACAAACGAAUAUCAAGUCGGUUAGAACCUAAUGCUCAUGCAAAUAAAGCUGUCAUGGCAACCCUUUGAAUCUGAUAGUUAUUCACUCUGAGCAAUAUAAUAUAAUAUUUUAAAUCAAAUUAACUGCGGAAAUGAAUUUCAAUAAACUGGUUGCUUUGCUUAUAUUUUGACAAACAACAAAGCAUAGAGAGUCUUCAACAAAAACUCAAGUAAAGAUCAUAUUGCAAAUAUUGAAAAGGCCUCUCCAUUGGUAAAUAAAUGUCAAACAAUAUGUAUAGAGAAUGCAAGCAAUUGUUAAGCAGUUCUUUUUUAUAUAUUUAUAGUAUAAACUAUACCUGUAAUCUUCUUGUAUAUUCACAUUUUUAGUAUUAAUUUGUAUAUUUAUUUAGUUAUGUUUUAGUUAAAAUAAUCUAUUUAACUUAAUAAUUUAAUGUUAAACUAAUGAACUGAAAAAAAAAUACAAUUGACAUUAUUUUGCAAACUAAAGUUUAAGGUUUACAUUUUGUUGUUAAAAAACCUGUUAUACCUAAUUUUUAUUUUCAGGUUUUAUUUUAAACUACUUUUUAUUUUAGUCUAAAUAACCAUAGCUAAUAAAGGCCAGCAAAUGCUCUUACUGUUUUUCCAAAAAUUGUUUUUAGCUUAUUUUCCAGCACAAUUAUGACUAUUAAUUAUGACUAUAAUACAAACAUUCAACUAUAUGAGAUUAAUGAGCUAGCAAGUAAAAAAACUUACAUACAACAAAUGUAGUUUGAUGAGAGGAUAAUAAUAUUAACUCUUUAAAGUUUAGGAAAUAUAAGAAUAUUACCUUUUUUAAAUAAGUUUUAUCCUGUUUUUUUAUUAAUAAAAAUUAAUUUUUCUUAUUAUUAUUUUUCAUUGUAUUUAGUUUUCAUUAUUAUCUUGUUAUUGUUAAAACUACUAAAAUUUAUGUUUAUUUCAGAAUAAUAAAAAUGAAUAAAUAAGAGAAAAAUCAAUACUUGAGGGAAUGGCACCAAAGUAAUCGAGCCUUAAACAAUGUACUUGUAAAUGAAGAAAUUGACUCACAUCACAUGUCGACUAUUAAUAAUAUUAAUAAAGUCGAGAGUUUAAUUGAUUUCAAAAACAUUAAAAUUAAGAACUAUUGUGACUUUUAUUUUGUCUCUGAUCAUAAAUAUACUUCUGGAACUGAGAGUUCUAUUCUAGACUCUGAGGUUCCUGUGAGUGAUGAUAAUGAAGAUCUUCAUGACGUACUUGUUACAUAACGUAUGAGUACUUGUUACAGAGAUUGCCAAAUGGAUUUUAAAACACAGAAUAACUAAAAAUGCAAGUAACAAAUUGUUAACUAUUUACACCAGUAUAGUUAUAAUGUUGAUUUACCAAAAUGUACAAGGAAAAUUUUAAAUGCUUCUAGGAAUAUUCCAAGCAAGUUAAAAUGUGGGGGUAAAUAUGUUUACCUUGGUAUUUCAAAUGACAAAUCAAGAACUUUAGCAAUCAACCAGCAUUACAGAUUUGAGUCAAAUACAAUUUCUUUAGUUGUCAAUGUAGAUAGCAUUCCUUUAUUAAAGUCAUCAAACACACGGGUUCAGCCUAUAUUAUGUAUGUUUGACAAAGUGACACUAUUUACUGUAGCAUUAUUUGUUAGUGAUAUCAAGCCAAAUAAUUGUGAUGAUUUUUAAUAUGAUUUUUUGCAUGAGUAUGAGUUAUUAUUUGCAAAUGGUUUUUAGUAUUAUAUAUAUAACUUCAAUUAACUCUUGAGAAAAGGUGUUGCUAAUGUGCCAAUAAAAAGUCAGAAAGUGUAAGCAUAACCAUUUUAAAAAAAAUAGAGUCCCUUGAGGAAUUUUAUGAGCUUGAAACCAGAUUAAAAGACAACGGGGAGAACAAUAAGUUGGUAAUUUAUAUUUAUAAUUUCUAUUUUUAAAGUUUGUCUGUUUAAUAGAAUGCUAUUUAAGUUCAUCGUUUUCUUGAUAAGCCUAUUUUAAUCAUUCUUACAUUUUACCACAAUAUGUUGUAUAAAGUAAAUUCCUACUUAUAAAUCGAGAAUUAACUUAGUGACCUGAUAACCAUUUACAUUCUGUAGAGUUUUUUACAGUCUUGUAUUUUUGUUAAACUAUUUUGUCUUAUAUUUGGUUGAGCAAUUAUUAUUUCGUUGCUUUGAUAGAAUAACUGUGAAAAACAACCAAAUAAAUCUAAUCCUGUGUUAUUCCAACAUGAAAUUUUCUCUAAACUUUUAUUUAUGUUUUAGCUUUGUCACCUCAUAAAAGCAGGUGGAAAAAUUUUAAAGAAAAUACAAAAAAUGUUAUGGUCAGAAUUAUGGAGCAUCAUCUUAAGCCCAAGUUCAAUAUGAAAAGUAAAAUUCGUGGUGAUAUAAAGAAGGUAUCAUUCGAAAAUAAAAAGUUGUGUAAAGCAAUAAUUUUGAAGUCGUCCAGCUAACGCACGAGAGUUCGACGGAAGCAAACAAAAGAUCAAAUAGGAAGCAUUUUAAAGUUCUCUCCAUUAAACAAUUAUUUAUUUUUGAGUUUUUUUGUAAAUUUAUAAUACAAAAGAAUAUAUAAUACAUCUUUAAAAAAAUCUUU